Molecule: ribosomal RNA, 253 nt
Filed under: uncultured bacterium
Lineage: Bacteria
Description: partial 16S ribosomal RNA
Rfam family: Bacterial small subunit ribosomal RNA
Source: RNAcentral
UACAGAGGUCCCAAGCGUUGUUCGGAUUCACUGGGCGUAAAGGGCUCGUAGGCGGCCAACUAAGUCAGACGUGAAAUCCCCAGGCUCAACCUGGGAACUGCGUCUGAUACUGGAUGGCUUGAAUCCGGGAGAGGGAUGCAGAAUUCCAGGUGUAGCGGUGAAAUGCGUAGAUAUCUGGAGGAAUACCGGUGGCGAAGGCGGCAUCCUGGACCGGCAUUGACGCUGAGGAGCGAAAGCCAGGGGAGCAAACGGG